Long non-coding RNA from Microtus ochrogaster (prairie vole), 834 nucleotides. RefSeq lists it as uncharacterized. Lineage: Eukaryota; Metazoa; Chordata; Mammalia; Rodentia; Cricetidae. The record is from RefSeq and is a predicted model, not a curated record. The transcript has 4 exons.
CCAAUCGUGGAAAAGAUAAGAACCAUUGCCCAGGCUGUUUAUGGAGCCAAGGAUAUUGAGCUGUCUCCUGAGGCGCAAUCCAAAAUCGAUCGCUAUACGCAACAGGGUUUUGGAAACUUGCCAAUCUGCAUGGCAAAGACCCACCUUUCUCUGUCUCACGAGCCUGAUAAAAAGGGGGUGCCAAGGGAUUUCAUUCUGCCAAUUAGUGAUGUCCGGGCCAGCAUUGGCGCUGGGUUCAUUUACCCUUUGGUGGGAACGAUGAGCACGAUGCCAGGACUGCCCACCCGGCCCUGCUUUUACGAUAUAGACCUUGACACAGAAUCCGAGCAAGUGAAAGGCUUGUUCUGAUGGAAUGACACACCCACAGGACCCGAGCCAGGCUCUUCAAACAAAAGAGGAAAAAAAAAGCCUCCUUGCCUUUUUGCUGCAGUUGGAGAAGAAAGCGAGUUUUGAAACCUGCUUGUUACGAAAUGCUAGAGAAAGCAUGAGAGCGGCCAAAGAUCCUGCGAGAUGGAUCGUUCCCGGCCAAGCCAUGCUCAGCGAAGGACCUGCGUCUCAACUGGAAGAAGCAGAGUUACUCUCAGUGCCUAUAGAGUUUACACCGUUUCUGCUGCUUAUACUUUGGAGUGUUUAUUUUACAGGGACUGGGGGAUUACCAGAGUGUGAACUAGAAGCUAAUGUUUUCCUCUGUGGAGUUUCCUCUUUGGUCUUUUCUAUUCUCCUUUUCCCCCCUCCCCCGUGAUGGGAUGGGAUGCCAGGCCUCGGCUUGCACAGCUUCUACUGCUGAGCUGUAUCUUUAUUUUUGUCUUUGAACUGAAAAUAAAAAUGUUUCUA